Molecule: ribosomal RNA, 497 nt
Filed under: uncultured bacterium
Lineage: Bacteria
Description: partial 16S ribosomal RNA
Rfam family: Bacterial small subunit ribosomal RNA
Source: RNAcentral
GAUGAACGCUGGCGGCGUGCCUAAUACAUGCAAGUCGAGCGAACAGACGAGGAGCUUGCUCCUCUGAUGUUAGCGGCGGACGGGUGAGUAACACGUGGAUAACCUACCUAUAAGACUGGGAUAACUUCGGGAAACCGGAGCUAAUACCGGAUGAUAUUUUGAACCGCAUGGUUCAAAAGUGAAAGACGGUCUUGCUGUCACUUAUAGAUGGAUCCGCGCUGCAUUAGCUAGUUGGUAAGGUAACGGCUUACCAAGGCAACGAUGCAUAGCCGACCUGAGAGGGUGAUCGGCCACACUGGAACUGAGACACGGUCCAGACUCCUACGGGAGGCAGCAGUAGGGAAUCUUCCGCAAUGGGCGAAAGCCUGACGGAGCAACGCCGCGUGAGUGAUGAAGGUCUUCGGAUCGUAAAACUCUGUUAUUAGGGAAGAACAUAUGUGUAAGUAACUGUGCACAUCUUGACGGUACCUAAUCAGAAAGCCACGGCUAACUACGUG